RNAcentral lists this long non-coding RNA (5639 nucleotides) under Sus scrofa (pig). RNAcentral describes it as "lncRNA (ENSSSCG00060062639.1)". The record is from RNAcentral. Lineage: Eukaryota; Metazoa; Chordata; Mammalia; Artiodactyla; Suidae.
AGAGCAGUUUCUCAGGGUUACCUGGGAUGCCGUCUCCCAGGCUUAAGUCCGAAUUUUGCCCCAAAUAAAACCUAUCUCUCAACUUUCAGGUUGUGCAUAUUUUUUAAAGUCAACAGUGAUGGCGACCGAGACACAAGGGACCCAGAGCAGAUUUCUCGCCUGAACUCUCGGAGGACAUGGAGCCUUGGUACCAGCAGAGGGCCCCGGUGCCCAUCCAUCUCCUCCUCGCCGGGAGUCCAGGCGAAUUGGGUCCAGACCAAGCCAAGUCAAACACAGACAGAUGGAGCAAUUACAUCGAAUCUCAUUCGUGUACAAUUAAAGACAUCGAGAGAGAUGGCCAGAACACGCUACACAUUACGGCUGCUUUUAACUGGAACGAGAACUUGGUUCAUAAUACGUCAAACCUUCAAACAUGACUUGGCGGGGUGGCGGUGGCAAUCGAAACAAAAAUACGACAGUGUUUAGGAUUGCAGGUUACAUGCUGACCAGUAAGAUCACUACAGAAUUUGUAGUGUAGUUAAUAAGAGUUAAAUCCUAUUCUUCCCAUCACCCAAUGCAUUCAUUCUUACGUGUGUUUGUGCAAACAUGGGCAUAUGAAGUCACGUCUAAUUUAAAGGAGUAGGAGGAGGAGGAGGAACGAAAUGCUGACGACAUGGAAACAGGGAAGAGAGGAUUCAGGGGUUUUCCAUACAGCUGGAAAGCAGAGGUGUGUGGUGACACUGGGGUCAGAGGUGGGAAAGACAGAAGAAAUUGGAGAGAUACGCAGUGCUGUCCAGCAGGGUCUGGAAGCCACGAUAAGGAAUUUGGACUUCAUCCUAAGAGCAAUGGAGGACCUUUGGGACUUGGUCCUAAGAGCCAUGGACACCUCUGAGGGAUUUUAAAUAGAGAAGUGACAACAGUUCUGCAUCCCAGAGAGAGACUGUGGCCUGCACUGCGGAGCAGAGGGCGAGAGACGGGAGCUGGGGAGAACCGUUGAGAGUGUUCCAGUAAAUCUUCCUCGUCUCUCAUUCCUGAGGGAAAUCACAGGAAUGGAAGCCCAGUUGGGUUUCUUCUGAGAAGGCAGAUAAACCAAGACGUCUAAGACAUGAUUGGCCACUUAAAAAGACACCCAGCAAAAUAGAAGCUGUAUGGAGCUACCUCUUCGGUCACUUUUCUUAAAAACUCCACUUCAAACUUUGAAUAAUACAGUGUGUCUAAAAAUAUGAUGAGCUCGAUUUCAAACUAGACAGAUUCUCUUGGCAGCUUAGCUUCAGGCGGCUCCCUGCUUUUUUUGCUCUUCUGGCGUCGGAGUCUAACCUCACUCAGGGUGCCAGACCCGGGCAUCCUGAAAGCCAUGUCUGGGGCACUUCUGCCCUCCAUGGUCCGUGCCGGGAAGACUGGCUUCCGAGCUGGAUUGGCAGCAGCACCAACCACGCUGACCCAUCCGCCUCAACACUAAAGGCAGUGCGGACACGCAAGAUGGAAAGUGCCUGGUCAAGAGAGGGAUGUGGCAGGUUUAGAAAAUUUAAGGCUGGAGCGCCUUCAGAAGGGGUGGUUGGCUUGUGCGCCGUCUUUCCCUGGGUGUUCAUCCAGCCGUUGCUGAACGGCCACUGUGUGUACAUCGCGCGCCACGAGGAGCAGAAGACAAAUGGAAGAACCACGCCUACGGCUCUACAAGUUUUCACAGACACGCAGGAAAGUCACCUAAUAAGACUGUGCGCAAAACGGGGGCUCAGUGAAGAGCCGUCUAGAGUCGGAGAGGGGAGGACAGGUGCCUUUCCGGGAGGAGCGGGCAUGAGGGAAAACGGCGCAAUUACGGCGGCGGCGAGCUCUAGAGGCAGGGGACGGCGACGCAACCGCAACCCGAGCGAAAAUUCAGAGGCGUGAGGGUAUGUAGCAGGUUCCAGGCUCUCUGACGGAGCCGGAGCGGGAACAAGCGACAGAAGACGGCCCUGGAAAGGAAGGACGGGGCCAGGGUGUGAAGAAUUGUGCAUUUCCUGCCAAGGAGUUUUUUUAAUGCAGUGCACUGGCAGUGGGGCCUUAUCGAAGGUUUUAAGGUGCAGAGUGCUAUUCACCUCAUAACAUAAACAUUUUUUUAAAUUAGAGAUGAUUUUUAAGUAAAAAGUGAAAAUAAAAGAGAAAAAGAUGACAAAAUGAGGCUGUUCUUGCAUCAGCCUUGAACGUCUGUUUUACAGCCAGGAAGCUUUCCAGUCAAUGCGGUGCCACUUGCCGGCAAAGGGGGCAGCGACGGCCACUGGGUAAAGGAACGAAAUCUCAGGGGUCUUUCUGGGGCCCUGAGGCUUGGGAGCAAGCAGCUUAAGGAGCCACAGAAGUCAGGAGACACAGGGAGACGCCGGCCCCAAGAGCUCUCCCUGGCCGCAGAGACGGGGCCGGUGUAAGACAGCAGUCUGGGCCAUCUCGGCACCUCCUCCCGGUCACUGCGGUCCCGCCUCUGGAUCUCCAGACCCACAGAGUUCCCAGGGAUCACCCUCUCCAGCCGCUCCCCAUCCUCCCUGGAAUCUGGACAAGGAGCCACAGUCAGAAAGUCAGUGACCUCCUCAAAUUCAUCAGUCCAGCAGAAUAAGAACCAGGAGCCACGUGAGGCCUUUGCCAAACUCCAGACGUGUCUACAUGAACCUAUGGGGUCUCCUUUCCCCUCUUAACUUCAGCUGACUUCUGGGGUUCAACACCAUGGCAACACUGUCCACACCCCUCUUCCUGUGAAGCCAGACUUCUGUGACCAGGGUCCCCUGCAAAGGAACAGGGAGGGAAGCAAGAGUCUAGGCCAGGUAAGGAACUAGGUUACCGGCAGGUUAGUUGUCAGGAUACAGGGUGGCAAGUUAAGAAACAAAGAAGCAAAAUGACCAGUGGUGGGCAGUUGGGUCUAGGGACCUGCUCUGCGGAGGUCUGCAUUAAUUACGGGCACACACUUGGCCAAAUGCAUUGGCCAUCAGCCCCUAUGGCAAGAGGAGGGUGGGAGGCUAGACAGAGGCUCGCAGACUUUGGUUGGUUGUGAACAUGGAUGGGUGUCCACCUCUAAUUUCAAGCAGGCACUGAUCUUUUAUGCUAAAAAUUUUAAACUCUCUCCCCCUUUUCUCUCGUUUUUUUGAGCUACUAUUCAGCUGCUGAGCUGGAUUGAAAUCACCUCUCUGAUGACUGAAGCAUGGAGGGAGAAGCUGGGUCCCCAAGAGAAUGCAACUGCCAGAGAGAGAGCACAGGACCAAGCCCAGCAGACCUGGGCUGCAGACGGAGGGCGGCCCUGCUGCAGCCACAGCAGACCGCACACGACCUAGGGACGGAAGCAGAUUCUGUCACGAAGGGCAGGGGAAGGCCACUGUACACGAAGGCUGUCCUGUGAGCAGCUGCCUAAGCCACGUCCAGGUCUCAGAAAUGGGGGCACAGGCAGGAAGGGGCGGCCGGUGAAGAUGGGAUCCAUGUAGACAAGAGGAGGAGCAAACCGACUGCACCGGACGACUCCCUUGUCCACCCUGGCCAAGGCCACCGUUCGUCCUGCGGCAGGGAACAACUCUGGGUUCACGCCAAGACCGCUUCCUCAUCCGCCUGAGCUCAGAGCCAGUUCCAUUUGCUGCGGAGGGCGCCCAGGCCACGUGAGGGGACCCAGCCGACCUCCCUGCUCUGGCCUCUCCCGCCUCUUUUACCACUAAAAAUCCUGUUGUCCCCCCACCCCGGCCCCGCCCCAUGAGCUUUCUUCUAAAAUGUGCCACAGGAUUUUCAAGUGUGUUUUCAUUUGUAAUCUGAGUGUUCCUACUGCUAGGAAAGUUAACUUCACUUUUCUUCCAGCAGUUUCUGGAAGGAGGCAUGGUGGCUUCUAUCAGGAAAGCCCAUCCCGUGUGCUCCAUUCUCUCCCAGCCACUCCCCACGCUGCUGCCCACCUCCUCUGGGUCACGACUCUGUUCAGACCGGGGUGGGAGGGACCCAGCCUGUCCCUCUGGAGGGCACGCCCUUCCCGGGGAAGGGGUAGGUGGGGAGAAGCCGGCUCAGGGGAGCACAGGCCAGAUGAGCCCUGCCUUCUCCAUCUUUAUACUCAGGGAUUUUUCUCUCAGGACACACGGAGCAUGUGCCUUCAAUCUGAUUUCCUUUGUGGGGCUCGGUCCAGCAGAACUAUCUGCAUAUACACUAGUUUCAAAUGUCCCUACAGAGUUCCUGCUCUGCCAGGUGCGUCAGGAGAUGUGGCUGGACGUUGUUCUCAGGGGCAGUUAAGAACUGUCAAUGUUCCACGGCAGUUAGGAGGCGAGGUCGCCGGGAGCGCUGCAGCUGACCUCUGGGUCAGAGGUCAUAAGCGCUAAGGCUCCCCAGCUCUACCCUUUCACAUGCACAUAACAAACCACUUGUAAUUUUUCAUUUCCAAGGAUGUGUUCGGUCCUGUUCAGAAUACAACUCCCUCUUCCCACACACACCCCUACGUUAAAGAAUUCUGGGUAUUUGCUAUGCCCACACUUGGACCGGGCAGACCUCAAAAUGGGUUCCCAGAGUGCACAAGCACAAGGGGGCAGCACUCUUGUGCUAAAGGGGCUGAGAUGCUGGCACAGGGCCAGCAGGGAAAGGUCAUGAGCAAAGAGGGAAGUUGCUGGACAGGGAUCAGGAACCCAGGCAAAGCUCACGAAGGCGACAGAGUUCCUUCAUACCUGGAUAUGAGCAAGAAGACCAAGUGAUUUUUUUAUUUUUUUUGCAAGGGCUAUGGAUCUGCAGUUUUCCUUUUGUGCCAUUUUUGUCUAGGUUAACGCUAGCAUCAUAAAAGGAGUGGGGAAGUGCUCCUUUAGCUUCCAGUUUUUGGAGAAGAUUGUGGAAAAGUGGUGUUACAUCUUCACGCACUUGGUUGAAUUCUGCCAUGAAAUCAUCAAGACCUGGAGAUUUCUUUUUUUCGGGUGUUUUUAAUAUUAUGAAUCCAAGUUCUCCAGGCCGGGGAUCAAACUCGUUCCUUAGCAGCGACACUGUUGGAUCCUUGACCUUCUGCACCAUAGCAGGAACUCCUAGUUUUACUUUUUUUUUUUAGGAACUUCCAAACUGUUUUCCGUAGUGGCUGCACCAAUUUUCAGUCCCGCUAAUAGUUCACAGGGUUUUCUUUUCUCCACAUCUUCACCAGCACUGGUUAUUUUUUACCUUUUUGAUGGUGGCUGUUCGAACAGGUGUGAGGUGGUAUCUCAUUGCAUUUCCCUGAUGAUUAGUGGUGCUGAGCAUCUUUUCAUGUGCCUGUCAACCAUGUGUCUUCUUCGGAAAAUGUCUAUUCAGUUCCUCUGCCCAUGUGUUUGUUGGAUUGUUUGUUGUUGUUGCUGUCAUUGAGCUGUGUCAGUUCUUUAUAUAUGAUUGGCAAAUAUUUUCUUUAGUCGGUUGUCUUUUUCCUUGAUGGCAGAUAUAACAUUAAAAAUAUUAAAAGGGGAGUUCCCGUCGUGGCGCAGUGGUUAACGAAUCCGACUAGGAACCAUGAGGUUGCGGGUUCGGUCCCUGCCCUUGCUCAGUGGGUUAACGAUCCGGCGUUGCCGUAAGCUGUGGUGUAGGUUGCAGACACGGCUUGGAUCCCGCGUUGCUGUGGCUCUGGCGUAGGCCGGAGACUACAGCUCCGAUUGGACCCCUAGCCUGGGAACCUCCAUAUGCCGCGGGAGCGGCCCAAGAAAUAGCAAAAAGACAAAAAAAAAAAAAAA